GAAAACAGUGGUGAGAUCAUCAGGUCCCACUAGAAGGAAGCUCUCUAUUUAUAUUGUCCUCCUUGGCCACUGUGGGCAAACUGCAACAAGCCAUACAGGAAGACUUCAGAAUUCAAGAAAACUUACGCAAUUCCAAAGCAUUCAAAUGAUAUCUCACUAAGGAAUAAAUGAAAAAGUCAUUUGUUCAACCACCUUCUGUACUUCUACAACCUCCCCCCACCUUCUGCAAUGUAUGAAACAGCAGUUUCAAAGAAGAAGCAUAAAAAACAAAGAAAAAAAUAGCUUCCAUCACCGAGGGAAAGAACUCUGAGCUGGUUUUACAACAGCAGAACAUUGUCUGGCUGAAGCAUUAUGACAGAAAGGUUUGUUGCAAGCUGCCAAAUUAGGGACCACAAUAAUUACCUGUACCAAAGACUCUGAAGAAUAGCUUCUGGGUAAUGGAAUUUGAUAAUACAUGCUGUUCCUUUCAUGCUGUGUGAUACGGUAUUGUCCUAGAACUGCUGGAACAAUGGGAACAACUCCAUGAAGCUUUCCUUCCAUGUGCAGAUCAGCCAUGCCAGCAUGCAGAGCAGUGCUCAUUCAGUGCAUGCUUUCCUUUCCUUUUCUCUUAUAGAAUUUCUUACUUCAAAUUGCCUGCAGUAAAGCUUGGUUUUAUCCAUCUUUCUCAAUAAUCAUAGACCACUGCAUGUAAUAAUCCUUUUAUAUUUUCUUUAAUUAGGUUGUAAAAUGUGACCAGUUCCUUUCUGAAAUGUAUAUUUAUCCAAUUAAGAAAUAUAUAACUACUAGCAUUUAUCAUUAAUUAUUUCAUAGAUACAAGGUAGGCAUUUGCAUUUUAUUACUUGCCAUCAGUAAGUUGAGAAAACAUAGAGUCAAGUUCAGAGUUCAGCUCUCUGCAAUUACUGAAGUUUCACCUAGCCUAAAAUUUGGCUUGCUCAUGCUAGGCACCCACAAUUAAAUAAAUGUAUUCUGGCCAUGUUAAAUAGUACUAGGUGAGGAUGUGACAAAUUCUUCAGUACAUCUUUACACUGCCACAUUGUUACAGAAAAAUUCCCAAAUGCAUUAUUCGUUAUGCCACUGUGACACUGAUGAUCACAUACAAUAAUGGUCAUUUCCCAUUUCAACCUGAAGUGUGAUCUCUCACUUCUGGGAUCACAGUUAGAACAAAGCUAUCCAUUUGCUUUUUCCAUUCACAGUAUCAACAAGGGGUAUUUUUACAGUAGCAAGUGCCCUGGGGUAAACAUGGUUACACUGAGGAAGAACACAGCUUCUUUCCCUAAGGAAAGUAGCACCAGCAAUUCUGACAAAAGCACUCAUUUACUUUAUAAGUUGCACUCAUACCAGGAGGAUUUUCAAAUAGAGUAGCCUUCCUCCUUGGUUAAUGUCUGAGUGACUGGGACUCAGUGAAUUCACUCUUCUGGUGUAAUGUGGGGAAAAAAAAUGUUUUUGCCUAACAACAAGAUGUUAUGACUCCAAAGAGGUCAAAAGAGGUGCCAUGGAACUCUGAUACAAGAUAAAUUCCUGCUUGCAGAAUAGAAGACCUGCAUUUUCAGAUAACAUCAGGAGAUGUACUGGUAACAAACCAGUCCUGAGGUAUGAAUGAUAGCCAGAGGGGAAGGUUAACUACGAGGUUAUGCCAGCGUACCAUAAUAAGUAAAAACUAAGCAGGUAUAGGAGGAGAACAAAGAGGGGCUAACCAAGCAGUGAACAGAGGUGGAACAACAGCUAAGGGAAUUAGAAGAGUUGGAUAGGCUGUAAACCCCGGAAUAUUCAACUAGUGAGAUAACAGGGGAGGGAACUGGUGCUGGAAGUAGGAAAUAUGAGCUGUUGCAUCUCUCCGAACCUGUGCACCUGGUUCUUAAGGUAGCCCACUCCUGCAAAAGUGUGAAAUUAAUUGCAAUUCAUAGAGAAUUCUGCCUGAGCCUGGACUACUGAACAUGAGCAUUUCGCACAUUUAGUCAUCACAAAUCACAGGGAACAUGAUAAAACUGCUCUAUUGCUUCCCUCCUCCCAAGAGGGGGAGUGCCCUGCCACUAGAACAGCAAACCUUUGCUACAAGGCCUGGGUAAAAGGACUCAGUAGACCCAAAGCAAGACCUUUCCUAGACACAACAGUUCAAUUUAUUUAAUUACAUCAUAAGAAUUAUCAAUAAAAGCUUUUAUGCUAUGGUAUACUCUGAUAAGUAACAUGCUCAGCCUACUGGUCUAAGGCACCUUCACAGUGGUAUAACUGAAAAUAUACUAAAUAGAAAUUUAUGCAAUUACUUUGUGUAAGUAGAUCACCAACUUAAGUUCUUAAGGCAGAAGUUUACCAGCUAAAUAAAAUAAAUUAAAAUAAAAUAAAAAAUAAAUCAUCUCCUGUAGGGGACUGUGCAGAUAGACAAAAAAUAGUUUUUGAUUUCUUGGAGUGAGAGGCCAGUAGACCAGUUACCCCAGCACAUGGAAGCUAACCUUGUUUUUACUUCCUGAACAACAGAGUACCACUGGCAGUGCACUCUCUUGCUUGGAAAACAGACACAUUCCAAAAAAAGCACAAGAAUAUUCACAUCUUGGUCCUUGGAAAGUAGCAAAACAAUUCAGCAGCACACUGCUUAGGCUCUAAUACUAAGCAGUGUCAGUCAGGGCUGUCUUAAACUCAGCUUCUUAAUAAAUAUAGACAAGGAGAGAAAAAGAGGUUUGGCAAGGUAAACUAAAUCUGCUGUAGCUUGCAAGAUAACUUAAUAGAAGACAGAAUAUGUAAUGUUGUCUUACUGUAAUUUAGUGAAACAGGCUGUGCAGCUUGCCGAGGAGCUCAGUCAAGAGCCAGAGACGAUAAUAAAACUGUAACACAGUCAGUAGAAAUCUUUUGUCUCUUUUCAAAUUGCUCAUUAAAAAUACUUCACUUUAAGAACAUGGUUAAUCAAUCUCUCUCAGAAAAAAAACCACAGCCAAAUCCACAGGGCAAGCAGACUGUCACCAAACAUGAAGUUGUAUAUGCAGGUCUGAACCCAGUCAUCCUGCUGAGGCACAAAAUCAUGAGACUUCGUGCUUAGAUUCAGGGAAAUCAGAAGUGGGACCCAAUACUACCCCUUUCUCUCUAACUAUGACAUUUACUGUAUCAUAAAACAGGACGAAAAUUAAUAGAAACAGUGUUUGAUAUUAUGUCUGUUUACCACCAACAUUAAUCACAGACAACAGCCUGAAGACAAGACACUUAGUUGAUGUAAGCAUACUCAUUUAUGCUGGAUAAGAAUGUACUUGUCAGAUAUUUGCUCUUUCUGUGAUAUUAACAGUGCUCUUGUAAGACUGUAUUUGACAACAUGUUCCUAGAGUCCAUAGCAUGAUAAAAUUCUUGGAUAACUCCUCAACUGGUAGAACCACCUUCAGUCUUGCCAUUUUACACCAAUUGAGGAACAAAUUUUUACCCUAGGCAAUGAAAAGUGUGUUCUGCAUUGUGUCAUCUACACUUCAGAUGCAAACAGGGAUCUAUAGUCAUUAAUGAUUAGCAGUUAAUCCUUCCUGUACACACCAGUAGAAAUGAUGGCGGGUAAACUAAAGAAUGAAGCUCUACACCAUCACCUGGACAACUGUGGUGGGAUCUCACAUUAUCAGACAGUUUCAGUAAACUUCUGACUUUAGUGGGUACUUAGGAAUGCUCAAAUUAGUAACAAUUCCUUGAAUCACCAUAGGAUCCCACUGCACUAGUAAACAAUAUUCAUGGACUAUUCAGCAUCAUGAUGCUUUCAAUAAAUUAUUGGACACUUUGUUUUUAUUAAUUGCAUCACUGCAAUUUGGCAUCAGAUGUAAUGUUUAACAACAUGGAUUCAAUUAAAAAAAAAAAAAAAAGUAUCCAAUCUGGAUACCAAAUGAACAAAUUAGAAUAAUGCAGUGCUAAGAAAAUGCGUCACAAUGACAAUGCAGGAAACAUACAGAAAUGCUUUGAGGAGGGAAAUGAAUCCUAAAAUGCUACUAAACUAGUUAUAGAGAAUGAAGAAUUUGGUUAGAGAUGAGAAAAAAACAAAUGAAUAAAAAAACCCAUGAAAAAAUAUCCCAAAUAAGAAAAUACAAAUAGUCUCCUAAGACUUUGGAAAAUGUGGUUUCAGCAAUUAACGAUGAUAAAUGCUGAAUGGAAGGGUAAAAGGCAGGCACUUACUGUGCUGCCUUAUGACAACAUCACUACUUGUAAUUUACUUUUGAAAGGAAACUACAUCAAUAUUUUCCAGCCACUUUCUACAUAGGCUCCCAUUUCUUGCUUGCAACUUAGAUUAAGUUUUAGUCUCUUUGCAAAACUUGUAAUUCACAAUUCUGGGUUCAUUUCUUACUGAAAGAAACAAAAAAACACACACCUCCUUCUGAGGGCAUAUCUGGGGAAAAGAAAUACUGCCAUGACUGUACUUCCAUAUACCUUUGCCUUUACAAUGAAUCUUCAAAACAAAAUACAUGUCUCAGGAGAACAAAGAGGCUUGAUUUCUUCUCCCUGAACAGUAAGGAAGUUACUGUCUUCUGAGAGCCAGUGUCAGCUUUAGGUGCUGUGUUUGAUGUGUAGAUUUCUACUUUGACUCCUACAAUGUGAAAUAAGAAGAUGUAAACUAAAAAACAAAACAAAACAAAAUUAAAAAAAAAAAAAAAGCAGGAAUAGCAACAGCCACCUACAUCUGAAAGAUAUCUAAAAUACAGAAGAUAGCCUUCUGGCCUUCUUGAUGGUGCAUAAUGUUCCAAUAUGGGAGAGUGUCUUAUAGCCUUAGCAAUUUUGUGAAUUAGACAUUAAUUUCUGCGUGUGUAUUUGGAAACUCCAAUUAAUUAAGCAUAACAUAUGCACACUUAGCAUGCUGUGCUUCCUGAAGAUGGAAGCCACGAAGCAGCCAGAACACAAAAACACUCAUAAAAACAUUACUAUGCUGUUCAUUGGCCAAGGUAUUGGAAAGCAUUGGUAUUCUUUUAUCUAUUUUAGUAAAUCCAAAUACUCCAUAUUACUGACUAGCUUAAUAUCCUUUGAUUUCCUGGCUGCAUUGUGUUCCAAGUUCAAAAGCACUAUUUUAGACUCUGGUAGUUAGCAUUUCGUAGGUAUGUUACUUUAUCACUCUCUUCUCUCCACAUCUCCCUAACUCAACCAUUUACCAAUGUUCUUAAAUGCAUAACUGAGUCUCAGGACCUGCAGCUCAGAGGUAGAUGUUCAAGGACUGAGAGCAAGGGUUAGACAGAGUGCACAAGGGAAGCACCUCCAAUGUGCAGCAUGCCUGAAAUGCAUUCCUAGCCACCAACCCUUUUUCUCCUGAUACAGAAUUCAAUCGCCUGAAUUUUUCUAUGAAUUGUAGUCCUAAUUUGUACAUGAUAUGGCCCAUGCAUCACAGUGAAGUUUCCCAUUUUAGUCAGAUCACACCUAAAGCUCAGGCUUUAAGGUGCACAGGCUGCGGGUGCUCAUCUUUCACCAAACUCACACUACCUUCAGGUGGCUUAGGUUGAUAGUGUUCACAACACCAAUAAAAUCAAAAGUAGGGAUGAUAAAGGCCUCAAUAGAUUUGGAACUUGGACUAGUCAGCACUGAAUGGAGCCUUUCAAAACUCAGUAAUUAUCAUAUUUUGAUUCUACACAGCUACCUCAACAGCUAUCAGAGAUGGGUUAAAAAAAAAGAAAGAGAAAGAUUUUAAGUUGCUUUUGUACAUCUGAAAGCAUAAUUUAAGCAUAUAUAAUCAGUGGAUACAUUUAUUUUCUUAUUUUUUACUAUUUUAGGGAUAGUAAUACAGCUGUUAAAAGUUUGCUCUCUUCUGUACUCAAGGUAAGAAAUUACGAGUGACUUUCUACCUUUCAUUAACUUUACACCAUUAUUUUUAACUAUUGUAUCUGUAUUGAGUGACUACAUUUCCAUGAAUAAAUGAUGGGGCAGACAGAGAUGCUGGCACAUCCCCGAUGAGAGCAGUGAUGCCAAACUUACUCUAUAAGCAAAAUACUUGCAGGGCGUUCUAUUCUUAAGUUUAUCCAACAAUCACUGCUGUGCAUUUCACCACUCACACUGAAUUUAACUCUAUUCCACUUUGAAAUAAACUUUUAAUUUUUAAUGCCCUGUGUGUACUAUUAAUCAAGAAGAGUGGGCAUAACAAUAAGAAUUACACAGAGGAAAGUUUGCUAAAAUAUGUCAAGAGUAUUCCUGCAUACAGUCAUCCAAGAAUUGAGGACCAUGAUACCACUUGUCAAAGGAGCAACAGCUUAGGUCUAUUUAUACUGAGAGAGAAAUCUCUGCUACCUAUGAUAACGAAGUCUGAGGUUCUGAAAAGGAUAGUGGUGCCAGUACAGUAAAUGGUGAUCUUCCUUUACAGUCUUAUCUAUAUCAGUGUUAGAAGGGUUUUAACAUCGGAAGCAAAGUACUUUAGUGGAGAUCUCUUGGCUGACAGCCAAAAACUUGUGAGUGCUAUUCUUAGAAGUGCAUUAUAUCAAUGUGUGCUUUUAGGCAAAUCACUAACCCUAACCACAUUACUUUCCUUAUUUGCAAAACUGGGAAAUAAUAGCACUUUUGUAUUUUUGCAGACUUCACUGAAAUCCAUGCCUCAAAAAGUGCUUGAGAGCGUUUGAUAUUAUUACUACCGUUACUUACAUUGCAGUAAAACUGAGAGUAGUCACUAGUUAAUAUUAAAACGAUAGUAUAAAUUGUGUUUGUCUUCAAGAUAAGAAUUAAAGGUGUCUUUGAUCUCCUCUUGUCACUUGUUAAGGAGAAUAUUACAAAUAAAAUACAAAAGAUUGUACUUGUGUCCUGGACAUUUGCCAAUAGAAACACUGACAUUUUGUUUACUUAAAUUUCAUUAGAUGCUGCAUAUUACUGUGCAAUGUUACUAAAAAAUGCCUACAAUUGUAACCUCUAUUAUUACUUGGUAUUAUUUCAUAGUAGCGUAUGGUCAAAUUUUAAUUUUUGUGCCCAUGCACAUCCAGGAAUAUCAGUGGAGUUUCCUGGUUAUAAUCAAAGUCACAGUUUGUUAAAUUGAAAGUGAACUUGGUGAUCUUCCCAGAAGGAAAAAGGAUACACAGGAAGAGGGAACACCAUCUUGAAGCAUGACCAUGGAAGGCUUACCCUGAGGCCUCUUUGACGUGCCCCUUGCAAAACACUACAUAACUGAAACUCUUUGAAAACUUCAGCUGGGCCUUCAUCAAAAGCUGAUAUUGGUCUCAAAUACAAACAGACAUUGCUUAGAGCAGAAAUUUGCGAAGCAACCAUACAGCGGCCUUAGCUUUAUGACAACUUCCUGUGAGUUGACCUCACAAGUGAUGGGUGCCAGUCAUGGAGCAGAUACAGUUUUUGUUCUGGCUUGUCAUGACUAGCUUACAGACAUGUAGUUAUGUACUGGACCAGCCUUAAUAAAUUAGCAUGCAAUCUGCUGACAAGUGAGCUUAUGUAGGUAGGGACAACAAACACUACUUGGGUAGAUAUUACUGUAUCAUGACUCUUCUUUUUUUUAAAAAAAAAAAAAAAAGAAAGAAAUAUCGUCUCACCAUCUUUGAAAACUAUGACUUUAGUAAUAACAUCAUAUACUACCUUUAAAGGGAACGUUCCGGAGAUAAGCAGAGUUUAUUGACUUAUUCUGCCCUUGCUGUGUAGAGAAUGCAAUGGAAGCAAUAUAAGGUGCAGAGUGAUGUGUUUUAUCACACAGGAAUCCAUCAAAGAACUCUUCUAGAAGAAGAGCCCAUAUGCGGAGUAAGACAGCAUGAUGUAUGAAUCCCAUCGCUGAAAUCAACUCUUGGAUUCAACAGUGCCAUUUGAACGGACAAAACCAUUAUUUUCUUUAGCCAUUCAAGCAAGGGAAACAUACUAACUCAAUUGCCAGCAUAGCUACCAGAAGGAAAUUGUGUAUGCUUUUUAGUAUUCAAGACCUUGCUCUAUUGCCUUACUCAUAUGAAAUUCAGCAUCUCUUUUGAAAACAGCAAAACAAUGACUUUGUCUCCAUUUUAAUUUGGAAGGAGUCCAAAUUAAGCUAUUAUGAGAGAUAAAUGAUAUAAUGAGAGUUGCAUGCAAUUUACUGAAAAAAAAAAUGAACAAGCAAAAUGACCUCUCAAAUGUUUGCAUUUUUCUUUUUUGAACUUACUGAAAUUUUUAUGUUCUAGGUAGUGAAGUCAAGUUUCAUAUUCAGCUUUCCUGUUAAUGUUAACAUGUACAUGACAGGUUCCAACUAAGCAGAAAAAUAGGACAUUAGGAUGCCAACCUAGCGUUCCGUUAUUAUCAAGAAUAAAUGAACUCAACUUAAACAGAGUUUCUAUAUUAACUAUUUCCAGAAUACACUCCUAUGCAGAACACUGUCUCGUAGGAAUUUGACUGGCAAAUAUCAGAUAUUCUGGCACUGAAAAGAAAAUCUGAGAACCUUUGUUACUGAAGCUGUAGUGGUGAACAAAAAUAGACUGCAAGCACUGGUGGAAACAUGGGCUACAGGGCCCUGUGAUCACAAACCUUCUGAGCAGGAAAGUCUGCCCGCUUAUAGAAAAGGUCAUCUUCAGUUUUGCAGCUCCAGGCUUUUAAUCUUAAGUAAGCCAAUCAGAUCUGAAUUAAGUGAUGAACGUAUUAUGUUAAUGAGCAUAAUUAUGCUAAUGAACAUUCCUUCAAGGAAUCUUCAUUCUUGAUUCAUUAGUUAGAUGUUACCAUCUGAAACCAAUGGAAAAUGUUUUGAAAAACUCAAUUAACCCCUCUGGGGUAAUCUUAAGACCUUAACAGACUGUCUUCCAGUGCUACCUCUGUUAUUUAUUCCCAGAUUUGUCUGUAGUCAUCAUUUCACUCAGAGUCCUCUGCCUUUUUAAACUUAUUUUUCUUCUGACAGUUACUUCAACCCUGCCGGAAAAACAAAACAAAACAAAAAUCUAUAAUCAUGUUUUAUUACUGCACUGCAGGCUCUGCAAUCCAGAUCCCAACAGUAUCACCUUCUGAACAAGCAUGGGAAAAUGCUAAAACAGCAGAAAAGUUGUCAGAGCCUGCCUGCACUAUUGACUAACCAGAGACUAGCUUGGGACAGGCACUAUCCAGCCAGCAAAUAGGCAGCUUUCUGCAGUACACUGUGUACUUCUUAGGGAUGGCACUUACUGUUUGGUGCCAGUGUGCUCCCGUGUUACAUUCCUGGUCCCACACAAUUACAUGUGUAUCUAAGGUUGCACUUACACUCCCACCUGUUAAGGUAACACACAGGAAGUAUCAUGGUAAGCUAUUAACAGCACAUGUUUUUACAGGACAGUAGCCUAUUUGUUCAGAUGAAUUCAAGUCACUUAAAAGUUAUUCCAUCCAUGGCUGGUAUUAAUAGCAUCCACACGUGUAACAUUUAUAUCAGUGGACAUAAAUCAGCAUCAGUCUAUUAAAUUCAAAACCACAUCAUUUCGGCUCAGCAGCUGACACUACAGGCUUACAAAAGAAACACUUAACAUAUACUUUUCCAUGAUGAAACGUGAGAAUAUGUCUAUUGAUGGUUACGUGUUCUCUACAAGAAGCCUCUCUGAGCCUUAAGGUUUACUUUCCAUAAUCAGCAGCACCUCCCCAGUGGGUUUUUAAUAUGUUUUAUCAGCUUAGAGUUCCUGAACAUCACACUUGCAUGUGGAAAGGCCAGAGAAUUGCCAGCUCUCGAUCAGCUGCAGUGAAAGCACAGCUUUGUAGUCCCAAAGCCCUGACUAUACCUGGGAGUGCAUACAUGGUAUCUGAUUGAAGUUACAGGUGUUAUAAUUCUCCUCUUGCCAGUGGGUCAUUAUUUCACUCCAUCAAAAGAGAAAAAUAAAACAUGUGAAGAACUCUGCAGUGACCUGCUUAGUCCCACAGAGGUCACAGUAGAGACUGAUUUAUGAUGACUGACAACUGCCUAUGAUUAUGAAAAUUGCUAGCCAGGACAGCAUAUAUUACUGAUGCCUGCUGAAUAGGGCACAGAGAAAUCAUUUUCCCUUUUAGUAUUCCUAAAGGUUUACUGUUCUUAGCUUUAUUCAAAGAAACUUAAGACCCGAGGAAAACAAUGCUGCGUAUAUAAACAGGGCAAACAUUAUGCUGUUAUUUAAAAAUGUCAGCCUGAUACUUGAUGUAAGGUUCUGACUUAAUAUGUAAGGCAAAACAAAUGAGUUUGAAAAUCUCUGUUUAGUGGUUUAGAAAAUGGGAUCUGAGAUUGCUUUAAAGAAGGUCAUAAAGACCUCUCAACCUCUCCUUUUAUUUAUGUUUUCUCAAAUAUAUUGACUGGCUUGAUGGUGCACCACAGACAAAUAUCUACAUGCUUCACAUAAUGAAACAGUGUCAUUACCUUAUCUGGACAAACUCCCAGUGUAAUUGCAACCAAAGUAAAACAGCUCUGAGACUGCAAAGAAGUGUCAAAACAGGAAAUACAAUAGCAUAGACCUGAGAUGUUUUCCAUUUGCAGACUUUCAUAUAGGUGUCUUUUUUCAUACUUUUAGCCCUAUAUUGGAAAGCAUAAUUUGAUGAUAGACGUGAAACUGUGUAUUAGUUUUUAUUUUGACAAAUUCAUUAGACAUCACAUAGCUUGAAAAAUGAACCAGGAGGCACUAAGUCAGCCUGAGAAGAUUGUACUUCAUAAACUGAAUUGCUCACAUGGGCAACAUUUUGGUGGAAGUUAUAGAUUUUCUAGCAUAUCCCUGAUAGAUAGCACUAAUAUAACUUCAAUAAAAACUCUGGAUAUGUCAAUAUAAAAUUUUUUCAAGCAUCGAAAGAUGUAAGAUACUUCAGCUAAUAAAUUGGAAGAUUCCCUGUUCCUCAAGGUACACUAACUUACACAUCAGAUUAUAAAGAGUAUUGAAGCCACACAGAGUACAGCAGGCAGCUGUAGGUUUGCUGCUUUUAGAAGUUGCACUAAAUUGAAUUAUCAAUAUAUGAAAGUAAUAAUUGGAAAUUAAGAUCUAGAUGACCCUUUUUGUAAAAAUGUUAGCAUUCUUCAAUUUUUAACUGUUAGAUGAUAGACAAUUUUUCAUAGCUGACAUGACUGAUAGACUGUAUUUGAUGUAAAUAAUUGAUGUUCCUUCUCUCUCUUCCUAACACAUGACCUUUCACUUACUUCCUUAUAUUGUUACCACUUCCAGAUUAAUAUGGUAUUGGAAAUGCAAAUGGUUAUCCUUCUUCUGAAAAAACCUUACAGAACCUGAUGUAAGACUUCAUUGGUUACAACUGUAUGGGACAGGAUUGUGUGUAUGUAUAUAUAUAUUUACAUUUGUGGAUGUUUGCGCAUGCACACAAGCAUAAAUACACAGUGUUAGAAUUUCUUUAAGUUAUACAAUUAUUUCUGUAUCUUACAGUGUCCUACCACGCACAAAUUGUAACUGAAAGUAGCUGCAUGAUUAUUUGUACGCAUUCAACAACCAGUGACUGUAAAUAAAAAGAAGAUAUGGAAAUGCACUAACAUUUGAAUAAUGACAGCUUUUAAAAUAGAAAGAAGAUGACUUGGAAGAAAGUUACAGUUUCAAGUAGAAUGCUGGCAGGAAUUUGAGACACUGUUUGGACUUAGAAAAAUCUUCAACUUUUAGUACAAAAAUGUAUUGUGGACAAGACGAAAUCUAGAGUAUCUACCAUACUUUGCACACUAUUUGAUACUUUUGCAAGGCUUGAGAGAGACUUUCUGGCCAACAGUAACAAACAGAUCAUACAGAGUUUGCAGUUACAUAAUAUUUUCCAAAUACUACUGCACUAGAAACUAAAAAACCAUGUUCAAAUGUGUCAGAGGAAAUCAUUGUAAUGCUCUAUUAACACUACAGAGGCAAGCAUUCAAGUCAGGCAUCUGAACACCGUAUGAGCAGUAUGAUGAACGUGCAUAAUUGUAUGACCUGGGGUUAAGAAAAAGUACUCUUCUAAGGGCCCCAAACUCCACAAUAUACCUCAGUGAGAAAACUCUUCUCUUUGCUCGCUCCCAUAUUCUUGACUUGUAGAUUCUUAUAUUUUAAUUACAAGUAUGUAGAUAACUUAGAGUUUGUUGUUUGUUUGGUUUUUUUUUUUCUGUCACAGGCAAAUUUUCUGUACUUCUACGUGGUAUUUGCCUCUAUCUCAACAAAGUAACUAAGAAGUUUCUGUGAAUUAAGAGCAGAGACAAAUAUAUUACAUCUCUUUAACUGAUGAAAGCAGCAGAUUUUCACUGAUCUGCAGGCAGCUGUUCUGUGUUCAGUGGAGUCGGAUGCCCAUCAUUUUCAUUUUUAUAUGAAAAAUGUUUCUUGGAAAACUCAUUAUCCCUAUUCAGGAGCCUUAAUAUAAAAUGAAAUUGGUCAAAAGGAUCUGAACACCUAAUACACAGUUCUGUCAUUCCUGUAUGGAACUUCUGGCAUAAAAGAAAACUGAGAAGGAUCACUAUUAGCAGUGGCCAGCUUUAGCUAAGCACUUCAAAAUGCACAGAACUAGGCAGAGAAUAGAUGAAGCUUUAUGCUGGUCUGACUGCUAGGGAAAUGAAUUUAUGUCUUCAGUAGCAUUUCCUUAGAAGAAUGCAUUGUGACUCCCUGUACACUCUGUAACACAAAGGGAUGAAGAUUUCUUUUGUUUUUGAGUCUCUGGUUUGGUUGUUGGUCAAGUACAACAGAAGGGGAAGAGGGAGUUACAUCUACAUGGUUGAAUAAAUAAAAAGCACUGAUAAAUACCGGAGUAAGAUUUUCCCUUCUGUAAGAAAAUGCAGUUGUUUCCAUAAUAUAUUCAUUAAAUGUAGAAAUGUAAAGGGUGUGUUUUCUUUUAUGUAUUCCCAUUUGACAAAUAAAUAACUGAUUAAUAUCUGUACUGCAUAUUCUUCCAGAAUAAUUAUUUCCUUUUGGAUGAACUCAGAAAACAAGUCAGUGGAUGAUACUAUACCUGUUUCCAGACAAAUACUUGUGGUGAGAGCAUAAUUUCCAUACUUCAGAUCAAGAGAAGAAUGUAAACUCAUUUUUACUGAAAAUCCUGUAGAAAUUUUCUCUGUGAGAAGGUUAGAUUGGAGGAAAUACUAUUCCUGUAUAGAAAUACUGUAUAGAAAUUGUUUUGAAGCUAAAAGCUCUUUUAUGGCUGAAGCAUUUGUCAAAAUCAGGGGAAUGCAGUCAGACACACAUCAGCUUGCCUUAUUUUGUUCUCCUGACCAGGAAUGAAAGACAGAUCUCUCUUUUUCUAUGUCAGUCUUGCUUUGUUUCUGAUAGCAGAACCAUUACCUGAUGGUCCAACCAAGGUACAAUGUACAGGAAUAAUAAAUUGGAUAAUAGAAGAGGUUAAUAAAAUUUGAAAUGCUUGGAGAUAGG
This 13160-nucleotide long non-coding RNA is filed under the name Gallus gallus (chicken). The record is from RNAcentral. Lineage: Eukaryota; Metazoa; Chordata; Aves; Galliformes; Phasianidae.